This 443-nucleotide ribosomal RNA is filed under the name uncultured bacterium. RNAcentral describes it as "partial 16S ribosomal RNA". It matches the Rfam family "Bacterial small subunit ribosomal RNA", at positions 338 to 795 of the family's 1533-position model. The record is from RNAcentral.
CCUACGGGAGGCAGCAGUGGGGAAUAUGGGGCAAUGGGCGCAAGCCUGACCCAGCAACGACGCGUGAGGGAAGAAGGCUGUCGGGUUGUAAACUUCUUUUCUCAGGGACGAAGAAAGUGAUGGUACCUGAGGAAUAAGCCACGGCUAACUACGUGCCAGCAGCCGCGGUAAGACGUAGGUGGCAAGCGUUAUCCGGAUUUACUGGGUGUAAAGGGCGUGUAGGGGGGAAAGCGAGUCAGGUGUGAAAACCAUGGGCUCCAACUGUGUUCUGGAUUUGAAACUGUUUUUCUUGAGUACUGGAGAGGCAGACGGAAUGCCUAGUGUAGCGGUGAAAUGCAUAGAUAUUAGGAGGAACACCAGUGGCGAAGGCGGUCUGCUGGACAGCAACUGACGCUGAGGCGCGAAAGCGUGGGGAGCAAACAGGAUUAGAUACCCCUGUAGUC